RNAcentral lists this unclassified non-coding RNA (295 nucleotides) under uncultured Cytophagales bacterium. Its description in RNAcentral is "contains 16S-23S intergenic spacer region". The record is from RNAcentral. Lineage: Bacteria; Pseudomonadati; Bacteroidota; Sphingobacteriia; Sphingobacteriales.
UGGACUACCGGGGUAUCUAAUCCUGUUUGAUCCCCGCACCUUCGAGCCUCAGCGUCAGUGUGACUGCAGCAGACUGCCUUCGCAAUCGGUAUUCCUCCUGAUAUCUAAGCAUUUCACCGCUACAUCAGGAAUUCUAUCUGCCUUCUGUCAACUCAAGCUAACCAGUAUCAACGGCAUGUAAAACAGUUAAGCUGCUACCUUUCACCGCUGACUUAAUCAGCCGCCUACGCUCCCUUUAAACCCAAUAAAUCCGGAUAACGCUCGCCACCUACGUAUUACCGCGGCUGCUGGCACU